RNAcentral lists this ribosomal RNA (253 nucleotides) under uncultured bacterium. RNAcentral's name for it is "partial 16S ribosomal RNA". It matches the Rfam family "Bacterial small subunit ribosomal RNA", at positions 524 to 776 of the family's 1533-position model. The record is from RNAcentral.
UACGUAGGUGGCAAGCGUUGUCCGGAAUUACUGGGUGUAAAGGGAGCGCAGGCGGGAAGCCAAGUCAGCUGUGAAAACUACGGGCUUAACUUGUAGACUGCAGUUGUAACUGGUUUUCUUGAGUGAAGUAGAGGUUGGCGGAAUUCCGAGUGUAGCGGUGAAAUGCGUAGAUAUUCGGAGGAACACCGGUGGCGAAGGCGGCCAACUGGGCUUUAACUGACGCUGAGGCUCGAAAGUGUGGGGAGCAAACAGG